GACCUUGAGCUUUUAUAACAAUAGCUUCACCUCUUCCACUUCCCGCAUUCUUGGGAAGUGGGCGGAUUCUACGGCGGCUGCGGCGUUUCGGUUUUCAAUAAUUACCGUCAGAUAAUAUGGUGGCUUUUCGGCAUAAUUGGUGGUUUCCUUUUCUUGAACCACGCAAAGAGCAGCUGCAUAGUUACCAGGCGCACCUUUUUACGCAACAGUCUGACAAUGCCC
This 222-nucleotide long non-coding RNA is filed under the name Sorghum bicolor (sorghum). Its description in RNAcentral is "long non-coding RNA (SBIC_LNC012445)". The record is from RNAcentral. Lineage: Eukaryota; Viridiplantae; Streptophyta; Magnoliopsida; Poales; Poaceae.